This 565-nucleotide ribosomal RNA is filed under the name uncultured Glomus. Its description in RNAcentral is "SSU rRNA". It matches the Rfam family "Eukaryotic small subunit ribosomal RNA", at positions 546 to 1106 of the family's 1831-position model. The record is from RNAcentral. Lineage: Eukaryota; Fungi; Glomeromycota; Glomeromycetes; Glomerales; Glomeraceae.
AAUUGGAGGGCAAGUCUGGUGCCAGCAGCCGCGGUAAUUCCAGCUCCAAUAGCGUAUAUUAAAGUUGUUGCAGUUAAAAAGCUCAUAGUUGAAUUUCGGGAUUGACGUGAUGGUCGUGCCUUAAGGGGUAUGAACUGUCGCAGUUGAUUUCUCACCUUCUGGAGAAGCUUGAUGUCCUUAAUUGGGUGUCAUGUGGAACCAGGACCUUUACCUUGAAAAAAUUAGAGUGUUUAAAGCAGGCAUUUUGCUCGAAUACAUUAGCAUGGAAUAAUAGAAUAGGACGGCAUGGUUCUAUUUUGUUGGUUUCUAGGAUCACCGUAAUGAUUAAUAGGGAUAGUUGGGGGCAUUAGUAUUCAAUUGUCAGAGGUGAAAUUCUUGGAUUUAUUGAAGACUAACUACUGCGAAAGCAUUUGCCAAGGAUGUUUUCAUUAAUCAAGAACGAAAGUUAGGGGAUCGAAGACGAUCAGAUACCGUCGUAGUCUUAACCAUAAACUAUGCCGACUAGGAAUCAGACGAUGUUAAUUUUUUAAUGACUCGUUUGGCACCUUACGGGAAACCAAAGUGU